GACGAACGCUGGCGGCGUGCUUAACACAUGCGAGUCGAACGGAAAGGCCCUGCUUUUGUGGGGUGCUCGAGUGGCGAGCGGGUGAGUAACACGUGAGUAACCUGCCCUUGACUUUGGGAUAACUUCAGGAAACUGGGGCUAAUACCGGAUAGGAGCUCCUGCUGCAUGGUGGGGGUUGGAAAGUUUCGGCGGUUGGGGAUGGACUCGCGGCUUAUCAGCUUGUUGGUGGGGUAGUGGCUUUCCAAGGCUUUGACGGGUAGCCGGCCUGAGAGGGUGACCGGCCACAUUGGGACUGAGAUACGGCCCAGACUCCUACGGGAGGCAGCAGUGGGGAAUAUUGCACAAUGGGCGGAAGCCUGAUGCAGCAACGCCGCGUGCGGGAUGACGGCCUUCGGGUUGUAAACCGCUUUCGCCUGUGACGAAGCGUGAGUGACGGUAAUGGGUAAAGAAGCACCGGCUAACUACGUG
RNAcentral lists this ribosomal RNA (468 nucleotides) under uncultured bacterium. Its description in RNAcentral is "partial 16S ribosomal RNA". It matches the Rfam family "Bacterial small subunit ribosomal RNA", at positions 28 to 507 of the family's 1533-position model. The record is from RNAcentral.